Molecule: long non-coding RNA, 1815 nt
Filed under: Zalophus californianus (California sea lion)
Lineage: Eukaryota; Metazoa; Chordata; Mammalia; Carnivora; Otariidae
Description: lncRNA (ENSZCAG00015016511.1)
Source: RNAcentral
GCUAAUUGAAUUACUAAGUAUCUGACCACUAUAUAACUGGCCACAUCUGUUGCAUUUUGUCGGGUGAGUCUGCCUAGAAUCGGGGUGAAACAAAAUUUAUUCUAAAGAAUGAGUUAGAUAGAAGAACAUGGUACAAUAAUAAUGCAUAACAUUUUCUAACCCAAAACAAAUUAAUUUCCUCAUUUAACAUUUACAGCACCCCAUAAUUGUAUAUCAUUUCUGUUUUGCAGAUGAGAAAAACUGUGGCACACAGAGGUGAAUUACCCAAGAUCGAUGAUCUCUUAUGUAGCAGAGCAGGAAUUUGAUCCUCAAUCCAUCUAAAUCUGGGGCCCACAUUCCUAACCCACUGAGCUAUAAUGCCUCCAGCAAUACCUCAGUAUUAGGAAAUAGGGAGAAAACAUUUCUUAAAUUUAGGGGACAGGAACAACACGGCAUCUAUAACUAAGAUGGGUUUUCUCCUCCUCUUAGCCAUGGCCUUCAUGGAUUCAUGUUAUGAUCUUUUAUAACAGGGCUAAUGUUAAGCAAAGAUGCACCAGUAUGGUUUUCCCAUCUACUAACAAACAUCUAACCUGAUUGUUCAGGUUAUACUUAGAAUGAAUUCUUUAUGUUUAGUCCUGUGCCAUAUCACCUGUUAUAUAUAUUGCUCUAAAAUAACAUUAAAUAAUAUAAAAUAGAGUUUAUUCCUCAAAAACACCAUCAAGUACUCCUCUAGUAUUCACAUAGAUCCCCUAUAAUGACAAAAGGGACAAGAAAGCAUUCUCCUCCCUUGUAUACUGAACACAAUGUCAUUCAGCACAUAUUCUGUAGAUAUAUUCUUGAAACACAUUCUAUAUUUUAAGGGCACCAUAUUUGAUGGCUCUGCUCUGGCAAUUUCAGGGUUCAAGAAUAUCAGUAGGGCUAUGGCAGUGGUAGCUAUGUCUAAAAGGAAGCACUUGGCUAUAAUCCCUGCAAGCAGAGCCAAGACCCCUUCACUCAACUAUGUAGGCAUCAAAGGUAUCCACACAGAUGGAAAUAACCACACAGUGCUAAAACAGAAAAACAAGAAGAUGGAGGAUAUCACCUGGCGACUGACGGCACUUCAAGUCUUGAUUCCUACAUGAGAGAAAAAUGCAAAGGUCUCUCUGUCUAAGCUUUACAACUUCAGAAAGAACAUGUAUUUUACAUCUUCUCAGAAACUCAGAAAGAACAUGAAUGGAAAGGAAUGGCUAGAAUCAUCAUGUGAUGAAUCAUGUACCCAAUGGCACAUGGAUGGUGACUAAUCCUUGUAGCCAAAGCUGAUAAAUGACCUCCAUUGAGCAGUGACUAGAAGAUACAGGACCUUCUGUGAUUCUUUUUGUGAUUAGAGAGUUGUGACCACCUCUGCUCAUCAGACGUUGGAUGAACUGUUCAGUAGUGGUUAAGGUGGGGGGCAAAUUGCUUUCUCUUUGUUUUUGCUUAUUUCUUGUUUAUGCUUUUAAACAAAAUUGAAUUACACAGGGUAAGAUAUUUAAUUAUUCUAAGAUUAGUUUCCUUAUCCCUAAAAUGUGGAUGAUAAUACAGUAUCACUUUUGUAAGUGGGGGUGCGAAGAUUAAAUAUAAUAAUGGAUAUAAGGUACUGAACACAAUAUCUAGAGCAUAUCAAGUACUCUGAAUGUUAGUUCUUAUUUCUAAAUUUAAGCUCUCUUCCUUGCGCUCAAAAAUGAUCCUACUUUUAAACUUAUUUUUUGAGUUUUAUGACUACCUUGACCUAACUCCAUUCCCUAUCAUUUCAUCCUCUCAAUUGUUUAAAAUCACUUCUGAACCUCUUAAAAAUCACAUUUAAGUGACUAAUAUGGG